This 494-nucleotide ribosomal RNA is filed under the name uncultured bacterium. RNAcentral describes it as "partial 16S ribosomal RNA". It matches the Rfam family "Bacterial small subunit ribosomal RNA", at positions 28 to 507 of the family's 1533-position model. The record is from RNAcentral.
GACGAACGCUGGCGGCGUGCUUAACACAUGCAAGUCGAACGGAAAGGCCUGCUUUUCCUUGUGGAUUGCGUGUACUCUAGUGUCGAACGGGUGAGUAACCCGUGAGUUAUCUUCCCCCAACUCGGGUGUAAACCUGGGAAACUGGUACUAAUUCCCGCUAGGACUGCAGUGUUGUGCCUUUGUUGGAAAACGAUUUUCUUUUGGUCGGUGAUGAGCUGGCGUCCUAUCAACUUGUUGGUGGGGUAAUGGCCUACCAAGGCGGCCACGGGUAGCCGGCCUGAGAGGGUGGACGGGCACAUUGGGACUGAGAUACGGCCCAGACUCCUACGGGAGGCAGCAGUGGGGAAGAAUGCACAAUGGGCGGAAGCCUGAUGCAGCGACGCCGCGUGGGGGAUGACGGCCUUCGGGUUGUAAACUCCUUUCGACCGCGAGGAAGCCACCUGGUUGGAAGGGUGGUGACGGUAGUGGUAGAAGAAGCACCGGCUAACUACGUG